GACGAACGCUGGCGGCGUGCUUAACACAUGCAAGUCGAGCGGUAAGGCCCCUUCGGGGGUCCACGAGCGGCGAACGGGUGAGUAACACGUGAGCAAUCUGCCCAUCACAUCGGGAUAACUCUGGGAAACCGAAGCUAAUACCGAAUACGACCACCUCCGGCAUCGGAUGGUGGUGGAAAGUUCCGGCGGUGAUGGAUGAGCUCGCGGCCUAUCAGCUUGUUGGUGGGGUAACGGCCCACCAAGGCUUCGACGGGUAGCCGGCCUGAGAGGGUGACCGGCCACACUGGGACUGAGAAACGGCCCAGACUCAUACGGGAGGCAGCAGUGGGGAAUAUUGGACAAUGGGCGGAAGCCUGAUCCAGCAACGCCGCGUGAGGGAUGACGGCCUUCGGGUUGUAAACCUCUUUCAGCAGGGACGAAGCGCAAGUGACGGUACCUGCAGAAGAAGCACCGGCCAACUACGUG
Molecule: ribosomal RNA, 465 nt
Filed under: uncultured bacterium
Lineage: Bacteria
Description: partial 16S ribosomal RNA
Rfam family: Bacterial small subunit ribosomal RNA
Source: RNAcentral